UGGGGAAUAUUGCACAAUGGGCGAAAGCCUGAUGCAGCAACGCCGCGUGAGUGAUGAAGGCCUUCGGGUUGUAAAGCUCUGUCUUUUGGGACGAUAAUGACGGUACCAAAGGAGGAAGCCACGGCUAACUACGUGCCAGCAGCCGCGGUAAUACGUAGGUGGCAAGCGUUUGUCCGGAUUUUACUGGGCGUAAAGGAUGCGUAGGCGGAUUUUUAAGUGAGAUGUGAAAUACCCGGGCUUAACUUGGGUGCUGCAUUUCAAACUGGGAAUCUAGAGUGCGGGAGAGGAGAAUGGAAUUUCCUAGUGUAGCGGUGAAAUGCGUAGAGAUUAGGAAGAACACCAGUGGCGAAGGCGAUUCUCUGGACCGUAACUGACGCUGA
Molecule: ribosomal RNA, 380 nt
Filed under: uncultured bacterium
Lineage: Bacteria
Description: partial 16S ribosomal RNA
Rfam family: Bacterial small subunit ribosomal RNA
Source: RNAcentral